GAUGAACGCUGGCGGCGUGCCUAAUACAUGCAAGUCGAGCGAACGGACGAGAAGCUUGCUUUUCUGAUGUUAGCGGCGGACGGGUGAGUAACAUGUGGAUAACCCACCUAUAAGACUGGGAUAACUUCGGGAAACCGGAACUAAUAACGGAUAAUAGUUGGAACCGCAUGGUUCAAGAGUGAAAGACGGUCUUGCUGUCACUUAUAGAUGGAUCCGCGCUGCAUUAGCUAGUUGGUAAGGUAACGGCUUACCAAGGCAACGAUGCAUAGCCGACCUGAGAGGGUGACCGGCCACACUGGAACUGAGACACGGUCCAGACUCCUACGGGAGGCAGCAGUAGGGAAUCUUGCGCAAUGGGCGCAAGCCUGACGCAGCAACGCCGCGUGUGUGAUGAAGGUCUUCGGAUCGUAAAACUCUGUUAUUAGGGAGGAACAUAUGUGUAAGUAACUGUGCGCAUCUUGACGUUACCUAAUGAGAAAGCCACGGCUAACUACGUG
Molecule: ribosomal RNA, 497 nt
Filed under: uncultured bacterium
Lineage: Bacteria
Description: partial 16S ribosomal RNA
Rfam family: Bacterial small subunit ribosomal RNA
Source: RNAcentral